UCCUCGCUCAAAGAAUCGCAUUCAAAGCUUACGAACAGGGCAUUUAAAUGCUCGUACCAAUAUAUGCUUUGGGAGAAAGUCCCCGGACGCCCUGACGUAAGUCAGGCACUGCGGAAACGCGCUGCCAUAGAAGCACUUCAUAGCAGCUGAUGCCCUCUUGGCUACCUUCGCGCUGGCUCCGACCUUCGUUGAACCGUCUGCACUCUUCAGUCUUCUGUCCCAAAUGUACCGAUUUUUAUCAGUGCCGGAGCAGCUUUGGGAUGACGAUAUGAGUCCCAUGUUUUGGCAUCGAAGAUUUCGCCGUUUGGGGGGUUGCGUCGAGGAGGUUUCUUGGGGAAACAAUGGGAAUUAGCGGUGGGAAUCUGGCCAAGGAGGUUGCCGUUCGUCGAGAUUCUACAGCUAUGCGAUUGCUCUCCUGUCUCUGAUCCUUCGGGGCUGGGUGAGUAACUCGAUGGGGCUUAUUCUUGAGGCGAGG
This 475-nucleotide RNase MRP RNA is filed under the name Microsporum canis CBS 113480. RNAcentral describes it as "Arthroderma otae CBS 113480 RNase MRP". It matches the Rfam family "RNase MRP". From Rfam's summary of the family: RNase MRP is an enzymatically active ribonucleoprotein with two distinct roles in eukaryotes. In mitochondria it plays a direct role in the initiation of mitochondrial DNA replication. Lineage: Eukaryota; Fungi; Ascomycota; Eurotiomycetes; Onygenales; Arthrodermataceae. The record is from Rfam by way of RNAcentral.